UAGGGAAUCUUGCACAAUGGGCGCAAGCCUGAUGCAGCGAUGCCGCGUGAGGGAUGAAGGCCUUCGGGUCGUAAACCUCUUUCAGUAGGGAAGAAGCCACCUCUCAAGGUGGUGACGGUACCUGCAGAAGAAGCCCCGGCUAACUACGUGCCAGCAGCCGCGGUAAAACGUAGGGGGCGAGCGUUGCCCGGAUUCACUGGGCGUAAAGCGGGUGUAGGCGGUUCCUUAAGUCGGUUGUGAAAUCCCACGGCCCAACCGUGGAAUUGCAGCCGAUACUGGAGAACUUGAGGACGGUAGAGGUCGGUGGAAUUCCCGGUGUACCGGUGAAAUGGGCAGAUAUCGGGAGGAACACCAGUGGCGAAGGCGGCCGACUGGGCCGAUCCUGACGCUGAGACCCGAAAGCCAGGGUAGCGAACCG
RNAcentral lists this ribosomal RNA (418 nucleotides) under uncultured bacterium. Its description in RNAcentral is "bacterial SSU rRNA". It matches the Rfam family "Bacterial small subunit ribosomal RNA", at positions 355 to 775 of the family's 1533-position model. The record is from RNAcentral.